RNAcentral lists this long non-coding RNA (841 nucleotides) under Homo sapiens (human). Its description in RNAcentral is "HSALNT0076353". Lineage: Eukaryota; Metazoa; Chordata; Mammalia; Primates; Hominidae. The record is from RNAcentral.
GUGAGCCGUAGUUAUACCACUGUACUGCAGCCUGGGUGACAGGGUAAGAUGCUGUCUCAAACAAAAUAAAAAGGAAGGAAGGAAGGAAGGAGAGACAGAGCUGUUCAGUUCUCUUGCCCAAAGUCACAGGACAAGUGUAACAAACAGACUCAUCCCAGAUGUCAGAGUUAGGUGCUGAAGCCAGCAACAAGGAGAAACACCAAAUAGUGAAAUUUAUCCUGAGAAAAUAUGCCUCGCUGGAAAAAUGUAUUCUUUAAACCCAAACAGAGCCAAUUUUCCCACCAUUAUUAGAAUGGUCCGUAUUCCUUUAGUUGGACAACAAUAUGCGUAAGGGUCAUUUCAAAGGAAAAAUGUGAAUCUUUAAACCCUACAUCACACUCAAAUGUACUUUGAUGUUCAUUCUAGAGAAGAAUGUGAAAAAUCAGGAGUUGGCCAGGAGCAGUGGCUCACACCUGUAAUCCCAGCACUUUGGGAGGCUGAGGCGGACAGAUCACCUGAGGUCAGGAGUUUGAGACCAGCCUGACCAACAUGGUGAAACCACGCCUCUACUUAAAAUACAAAAUUGGCCAGGUGUGGUGAUGCAUGCCUGUAGUCCCAGCCGCUGGAGAGGCUGAGGCAGGAGAAUCACUUCAACCCGGCAGGCAGAGUUUGCAAUGAGCCAAGAUGGUGCCACUGCGCUCUAGCCUGGGUGACACAGCAAGAUUCCAUCUCAAAAAAAAAAAAAAAAAGGAAAAAAGACAACUAAGGAGUCAAGGAAGAGCGUAUUCCCGUUUUCUCAAUUAAGUAGACGUUCUCAUACAAGCUAAACUACUAUACUCUCCAGCCUACAACACCAUCUCUA